CUUCCUCACCAAAAAAGAGGAGGAUUGGCAGAUGUUAGCUCAGAGCUAGUCUUCCUCAAAAAAAAAAAAAAGAAAGAAAGAAAGAAAGCCCAGCCUCAGUGCCUUACCUGAGUACAAUCGGCUCCUCUGAUCGCCGCUUCUCGGAUGCCUCCAGCACUCACAAUCGGAACUGUGUCCAGGCUCUGAAUUACGGACUGCCAGGAAACCAGGCUAGCUACAGAAGAGUGAGAGGCCACAUGGAGGGGACCUGAAGUACCCCAGUGGACAGCGAGCAUUACAGCCAGAUGUGCAAGGAAGCCCACCUUGGUCUGUCCAGUCCAGCCACCUCUCUGGGGAAUGCAGCCCACAGGAAUCAGAUUUUGCACAAGAAACUUCUCAGAAACAGACGGAACGACAUCGACACAGCCAUGGCUUCCCUUCAGCCAGCCUGAACUGAGUAGAGAGCCUGGAUUCAUUCGCGCUACCAAAACUGAAGCCCAGGUUUGCCUAGAUCAACAACAGCCCUCAAGGCCAAAGUUGUGUCAAUGCUCAGGGGUCCGUCGUACCUGCAAAGAUGAGCUCUCCACGAAGGCAAGGGCAAAUGAGCACUACAAAAGUAUUAAUAGUUGCAAUUUCUCAGGCAUGUUUUUACUAAUCUUAUGAUCUCCUUCCUUCUAUGUUCUUUGAAUUUACUCUGUUUUGUCUAAUUUUUUAUCUAAUUUCUUAGCUCAUUGAUUUUUUCUUUAUUAAUAAAGCAAAGUCAUAAUUUUCUUUUCUAUAAAUACUACUUUAUCUACAUCCCAAAAGUUUUGAUAUACAGUGCUUCAUUGUGAUUUAUUUCUAAAACAUUUCUAGUUUCUUUGACCUACAAAUUAUGUAUUUAAUAUACAUUUUUAUAAAUAUAUAUGAAAUAUAUGAUGCAUUCAGGAAAGAGCAU
This is a long non-coding RNA of Equus quagga, 916 nucleotides long. RefSeq lists it as uncharacterized. The record is from RefSeq and is a predicted model, not a curated record. The transcript has 4 exons. NCBI's taxonomy places the organism in Eukaryota, Metazoa, Chordata, Mammalia, Perissodactyla, Equidae.